RNAcentral lists this long non-coding RNA (1052 nucleotides) under Sarcophilus harrisii (Tasmanian devil). RNAcentral describes it as "lncRNA (ENSSHAG00000005843.2)". The record is from RNAcentral. Lineage: Eukaryota; Metazoa; Chordata; Mammalia; Dasyuromorphia; Dasyuridae.
AGUCUACAGAUAAAACAUAGAACAUGGAUGAAAUUUAUAAGAUCGCUUCUUCAAAGAGGAUACAGCAGUUGGAAAAAGAGCUGGAGGUUCAGUUGGCUGAACUUAAGACAGAAAUACAAGAACACGGAGCUCUUAAAAGAUCACUUCAUUGGCCUUACAGCUCCAUCCGGUUACCAAAGGAUGUUUCUUACUUUAGAAAAGAGAGGGAACUGGCAUUACGGAAAAGCUUGCAGGUGGCUGAAUCAAAGCCCCUUGUUAUUCAAGCAGAUGUCCUGCAGAGGGAGCUCGAAAGCUGUUUAAGGAAAGAGUACACAGUUGAAAACUUACCUUUGCUUCUGCACCAGUUUUAUACAGAGAGAAUUACCCAGUUGGUCCAGAGCAAAUACUUACACAUGCUUAGGUGGAAGAGAUUCUGCCAGCAUAGCAGCAUUAUGGAACAAAUUUAUCCUCUUUACCAGGUGCUACAAUACUUGCCCAUAUCUGACAGAUUGGAAAUUGCUAUACAGGACGUGGAUCAAGAAAAUGGAGAUAUGUGUACUGGACAUAUAGACCCUGAGUCUUCAUCUACUAACAACCAGAAUUCUGGUUGUCAAGCUUCUUCAGUAACAAGCACUUCAGGGUUAUUCAGAAAAGAAGUUACUUCUAUUCUGCCCCACAAUAAAACAGAAGCAGUAGAACUGAAGCCUCAGCUAGAACUUCUUUUGUCUCAUUUCAACAUCUGCUACAACACAGAGGAUCUAAAGAAUUCUGCUGAUGAGAUGGAGCUCUUUUCCCUGGUUGUUCAGAAGUUUCAGAACAUCUUCCAUGAACAACAGAGAUUGAAAAUAUUUCCAGCCUAUGAUGUCAAGGUGGCUAAAGUUGAUAUCCAGGAUUUAUUAAAACCUAGCAUGACUUUCAAAAAGACAGCCAACUGGAUUCCUUUCAUAAAGAUUAAGCCAAAAUGUGAUCCUUGGCAGCAGAAACUUUUGACCAAACUAAGAGAACGAGACAGAAUCGAUGCAUUGAUGCAAUUGCAUACAAAGUUUUUGAAAGUGAGGUUUGUUCAUUUUUAA